This 512-nucleotide ribosomal RNA is filed under the name Priestia aryabhattai. RNAcentral describes it as "bacterial SSU rRNA". It matches the Rfam family "Bacterial small subunit ribosomal RNA", at positions 365 to 870 of the family's 1533-position model. The record is from RNAcentral. Lineage: Bacteria; Bacillati; Bacillota; Bacilli; Caryophanales; Bacillaceae.
CCUUGAAUGUGCGUAGUCUGACGGAGCACGCCGCGUGAGUGAUGAAGGCUUUCGGGUCGUAAAACUCUGUUGUUAGGGAAGAACAAGUACGAGAGUAACUGCUCGUACCUUGACGGUACCUAACCAGAAAGCCACGGCUAACUACGUGCCAGCAGCCGCGGUAAUACGUAGGUGGCAAGCGUUAUCCGGAAUUAUUGGGCGUAAAGCGCGCGCAGGCGGUUUCUUAAGUCUGAUGUGAAAGCCCACGGCUCAACCGUGGAGGGUCAUUGGAAACUGGGGAACUUGAGUGCAGAAGAGAAAAGCGGAAUUCCACGUGUAGCGGUGAAAUGCGUAGAGAUGUGGAGGAACACCAGUGGCGAAGGCGGCUUUUUGGUCUGUAACUGACGCUGAGGCGCGAAAGCGUGGGGAGCAAACAGGAUUAGAUACCCUGGUAGUCCACGCCGUAAACGAUGAGUGCUAAGUGUUAGAGGGUUUCCGCCCUUUAGUGCUGCAGCUAACGCAUUAAGCACUCC